AGAGGGUGAAACUCCCGUCCGCCUGGUAGAAUGAGUCUUUGUCAACGAGUCGAGUUGUUUGGGAUUGCAGCUCUAAUUUGGUGGUAAAUUCCGUCUAAAGCUAAAUAUUGGUGGGAGACCGAUAGCGUACAAGUACCGUGAGGGAAAGAUGCAAAGAACUUUGAAAAGGGAGUUAAAGAGUACCUGAAAUUGCUGAAACGGAAGCGAAGGAAACCAGUGUUUGUUGGUUCAUAUUUCCCUAGCCACUUGUGGCUUGGGCGCUGUGGGCUUGCGUGAGUUUGGGUUGGUUGAUUCCUUUGGAAGAGCGCAGUCAGAGUUGAUGUCU
RNAcentral lists this ribosomal RNA (325 nucleotides) under Pseudo-nitzschia sp. RNAcentral's name for it is "LSU rRNA". It matches the Rfam family "Eukaryotic large subunit ribosomal RNA", at positions 207 to 544 of the family's 3401-position model. Lineage: Eukaryota; Bacillariophyta; Bacillariophyceae; Bacillariales; Bacillariaceae. The record is from RNAcentral.